CUUGCUCUUAUGGGUGGCGAGUGGCGGACGGGUGAGGAAUACAUCGGAAUCUACUCUUUCGUGGGGGAUAACGUAGGGAAACUUACGCUAAUACCGCAUACGACCUACGGGUGAAAGCGGAGGACCUUCGGGCUUCGCGCGGUUGAAUGAGCCGAUGUCGGAUUAGCUAGUUGGCGGGGUAAAGGCCCACCAAGGCGACGAUCCGUAGCUGGUCUGAGAGGAUGAUCAGCCACACUGGAACUGAGACACGGUCCAGACUCCUACGGGAGGCAGCAGUGGGGAAUAUUGGACAAUGGGCGCAAGCCUGAUCCAGCCAUGCCGCGUGGGUGAAGAAGGCCUUCGGGUUGUAAAGCCCUUUUGUUGGGAAAGAAAAGCAGUCGGUUAAUACCCGAUUGUUCUGACGGUACCCAAAGAAUAAGCACCGGCUAACUUCGUGCCAGCAGCCGCGGUAAUACGAAGGGUGCAAGCGUUACUCGGAAUUACUGGGCGUAAAGCGUGCGUAGGUGGUG
RNAcentral lists this ribosomal RNA (509 nucleotides) under Xanthomonas euvesicatoria. Its description in RNAcentral is "bacterial SSU rRNA". It matches the Rfam family "Bacterial small subunit ribosomal RNA", at positions 75 to 580 of the family's 1533-position model. The record is from RNAcentral. Lineage: Bacteria; Pseudomonadati; Pseudomonadota; Gammaproteobacteria; Lysobacterales; Lysobacteraceae.